UACGUAGGGUGCAAGCGUUAAUCGGAAUUACUGGGCGUAAAGCGUGCGCAGGCGGUUGUGCAAGACAGAUGUGAAAUCCCCGGGCUCAACCUGGGAACUGCAUUUGUGACUGCACGGCUGGAGUGCGGCAGAGGGGGAUGGAAUUCCGCGUGUAGCAGUGAAAUGCGUAGAUAUGCGGAGGAACACCGAUGGCGAAGGCUAUCCCCUGGGCCUGCACUGACGCUCAUGCACGAAAGCGUGGGGAGCAAACAGG
Molecule: ribosomal RNA, 253 nt
Filed under: uncultured bacterium
Lineage: Bacteria
Description: partial 16S ribosomal RNA
Rfam family: Bacterial small subunit ribosomal RNA
Source: RNAcentral